RNAcentral lists this unclassified non-coding RNA (339 nucleotides) under soil metagenome. Its description in RNAcentral is "partial contains 5.8S ribosomal RNA, internal transcribed spacer 2, and large subunit ribosomal RNA". The stretch from base 1 to 120 matches the Rfam family "5.8S ribosomal RNA", at positions 35 to 154 of the family's 154-position model. The record is from RNAcentral.
GAUGAAGAACGUAGCGAAAUGCGAUAAGUAGUGUGAAUUGCAGAAUUCAGUGAAUCAUCGAAUCUUUGAACGCACAUUGCGCCCCUCGGUAUUCCGUGAGGCAUGCCUGUUCGAGCGUCAUUUAACCCCUCAAGCCUAGCUUGGUAUUGGGUGCUUGUCCCGCCUCUCGCGCGGCGACUCACCUCAAAGUCAUUGGCAGCCCGCAUCUCGCCGGCCGUGAGCGCAGCACAGACGCGCUCUUGGCAACGACGGAUCGGCUCUCCAAAAGCUUAUUUCAACCACUGACCUCGGAUCAGGUAGGGAUACCCGCUGAACUUAAGCAUAUCAAUAAGCGGAGGA